This is a non-coding RNA of Rhopilema esculentum, 7171 nucleotides long. NCBI's taxonomy places the organism in Eukaryota, Metazoa, Cnidaria, Scyphozoa, Rhizostomeae, Rhizostomatidae. The record is from RefSeq and is a predicted model, not a curated record.
AUAAAUAAUUAAUUAAUAUAGAAUUAACAAUACCUCAUUGGGAGUAAAUGAUUGAAAGUUAUUGCGAAUCGGGAAGUGAGGAGGAGGAUAUCCCAUGGACCAUUGCGAAAUUGGAGCAUGGCAAGGCAAGGAGAAAAAUGGCGACAGACUAAACAAAUGUAGCAAAUAAGAAACACCGCAAUACGCCGAGAAUUGAAAACCAAACAAAACCUGAAGAAAAUGCAAGAAAUGGACAAAGCUUCUUUUCAAGUAACUAGAGGUAUCAAAAUAUGCCCUCAACUUUGUCAUGGUCUACUAUGGUGUGACUUGAAAGACGAAGGACAAAGAUUAUAUGAAGAAUGUGGAGGACUGAGCAUGAAAGAAUCAAACAUUUGUUUGUUGCACAGAAAAGAAAAAGUCUAUUGAUUGGCAAAUUGACUUCAAGCCUGUCUGCCUGACUGUUUAAUGCUUGGAAGAACUGAUCUGGAGAAGAUAAAUUCUUGGUUCUUGGGAUGGACAAAGAUCUUUGGCAUGUUAUUAGAGGUACCAAAAUUUGCCUAAAGUUGAUUAUGGUCUACUGGUGCAUGACUUGAUUAACGAGAAAGAGCAUUUCAAGAUUGUGGAAAGAAAAUAAUCUUCUUUCUGUUGUUUCAUCAAAGGACUUUACCUUUGAGAUGAGAUGCAGAUAAAACGAAAGUGUUGUUUAUAGAGGCUGAAGAGUGUCACAACAUCACUUUUGGACCCAGAUACAAGACCAAAGUCAUCUAUACCUAAUCUUGGAUGGUUAGCAUUUUGUUCAGUAGAUUGUUCCAUCUCAGCAACCAAGAUGUUGGCAUGCUCACGGUCAGGAAGUUCAUGCUCAUCCUUUGCACAACUACUUAACAAAGUUCAGGAAGGGACGAAUUUCCCUUUGAAUUUUUGUUCCAUUCCUGGAAACAGCUUUGGAAAUUCCAGCAGAGAUUUCUUUGUUCCAAACGCAAUUUCAAGUAAUAGAAGUCAAAAACGCCGGGCAGCCAUUGUUAGAGAAUGACCAUUUGCAUAUUCUAUCAUGAAAUCCUUUUCACAGCAUCACUUCUAUUUUAGCUUAUUGGCUUGCAAGUUGACUUCUUCAAGCCUUUCUGCUUGAUGUAUUACUGCUCUAAAGGACUAUUAACGAGAUGGACACAGUUCUUUGCAUGUUACUAAAGGUGUCAAAAUAUGCCCUCAAGUUGGUUAUGAUCUACUGUGGCAUGGCCAAAGAUUUUUGCAAGAUUGUGGAAAGGUAAAGCAUGGAGCAACCAGUCAGUUGAUCGUUGCACAGAGAAGAUGUAGCUAACUUUUUGCCAAAAUAGUCUUGAAGUUGGUUAUGGUCUUCUUUGGCAUGGCCAAAGAUUUUUGCAAGAUUGUGGAAAGGUAAAGCAUGGAGGAACCAGUCAGUUGAUCGUUGCACAGAGAAGAUGUAGCUAACUUUUUGCCAAAUGGUUAUGGUCUACUGUGGCAUGGCCAAAGAUUUUUGCAAGAUUGUAGAAAGGUAAAGCAUGGACCAACCAGUCAUAGGAUCGUUGCACAGAGAGGAUGAAGCCAAGUUUUUAUCAAAAUUGACUUGAAGCCUGUCUGCCUGAUCGUUUACUGCUUUGAGGAACUAUUCCAGGAGAGAUUCAACGAGCUGGACAAAGAUCUUUUGCAUGUUACUAAAGGUGUCAAAAUAUGCCCUUAAGUUGGUUAUGGUCUACUGUGGCAUGGCCAAAGAUUUUUGCAAGAUUGUGGAAAGGUAAAGCAUGGACCAACCAGUCAUAGGAUCGUUGCACAGAGAAGAUGAAGCCAAGUUUUUAUCAAAAUUGACUUGAAGCCUGUCUGCCUGAUCGUUUACUGCUUUGAAGAACUAUUUCAGGAGAGAUUCAACGAGAUGGACAAAGAUCUUUUGCAUGUUACUAAAGGUGUCAAAAUAUGCCCUUAAGUUGGUUAUGGUCUACUGUGGCAUGGCCAAAGAUUUUUGCAAGAUUGUGGAAAGGUAAAGCAUGGAGCAACCAGUCAGUUGAUCGUUGCACAGAGAAGAUGUAGCUAACUUUUUGCCAAAAUAGUCUUGAAGUUGGUUAUGGUCUGCUGUGGCAUGGCCAAAGAUUUUUGCAAGAUUGUAGAAAGGUACAGCAUGGAGCAACCAGUCAGUUGAUCGUUGCACAGAGAAGAUGUAGCUAACUUUUUGCAAAAAUUGUCUUGAAGUUGGUUAUGGUCUGCUGUGGCAUGGCCAAAGAUUUUUGCAAGAUUGUAGAAAGGUAAAGCAUGGAGCAACCAAUCAGUUGAUCGUUGCACAGAGAAGAUGUAGCUAACUUUUUGCCAAAAUUGUCUUGAAGUUGGUUAUGGUCUGCUGUGGCAUGGCCAAAGAUUUUUGCAAGAUUGUAGAAAGGUAAAGCAUGGACCAACCAGUCAUAGGAUUGUUGCACAGAGAAGAUGAAGCCAAGUUUUUUAUCAAAAUUGACUUGAAGCCUGUCUGCCUGGUCGUUUACUGCUUUGAAGAACUAUUCCAGGAGAGAUUCAACGAGCUGGACAAAGAUCUUUUGCAUAUUACUAAAGGUGUCAAAAUAUGCCCUUAAGUUGGUUAUGGUCUGCUGUGGCAUGGCCAAAGAUUUUUGCAAGAUUGUAGAAAGGUAAAGCAUGGACCAACCAGUCAUAGGAUCGUUGCACAGAGAAGAUGAAGCCAAGUUUUUAUCAAAAUUGACUUGAAGCCUGUCUGCCUGAUCGUUUACUGCUUUGAAGAACUAUUCCAGGAGAGAUUCAACGAGCUGGACAAAGAUCUUUUGCAUAUUACUAAAGGUGUCAAAAUAUGCCCUUAAGUUGGUUAUGGUCUACUGUGGCAUGGCCAAAGAUUUUUGCAAGAUUGUGGAAAGGUAAAGCAUGGAGCAACCAGUCAGUUGAUCGUUGCACAGAGAAGAUGUAGCUAACUUUUUGCCAAAUGGUUAUGGUCUUCUGUGGCAUGCCAAAGAUUUUUGCAAGAUUGUAGAAAGGUAAAGCAUGGACCAACCAGUCAUAGGAUCGUUGCACAGAGAGGAUGAAGCCAAGUUUUUAUCAAAAUUGACUUGAAGCCUGUCUGCCUGGUCGUUUACUGCUUUGAAGAACUAUUCUAGGAGAGAUUCAACGAGCUGGACAAAGAUCUUUUGCAUAUUACUAAAGGUGUCAAAAUAUGCCCUUAAGUUGGUUAUGGUCUACUGUGGCAUGGCCAAAGAUUUUUGCAAGAUUGUGGAAAGGUAAAGCAUGGAGCAACCAGUCAGUUGAUCGUUGCACAGAGAAGAUGUAGCUAACUUUUUGCCAAAAUUGUCUUGAUGUUAGUUAUGGUCCGCUGUGGCAUGGCCAAAGAUUUUUGCAAGAUUGUAGAAAGGUAAAGCAUGGAGCAACCAGUCAGUUGAUCGUUGCACAGAGAAGAUGUAGCUAACUUUUUGCCAAAAUUGUCUUGAUGUUAGUUAUGGUCCGCUGUGGCAUGGCCAAAGAUUUUUGCAAGUUUGUUGAAAGGUAAAGCAUGGAGCAACCAGUCAGUUGAUCGUUGCACAGAGAAGAUGAAGCCGAGUUUUUACAAAAUUGACUUGAAGCCUGUCUGCCUGGUCGUUUACUGCUUUGAAGAACUAUUCUAGGAGAGAUUCAACGAGCUGGACAAAGAUCUUUUGCAUAUUACUAAAGGUGUCAAAAUAUGCCCUUAAGUUGGUUAUGGUCUACUGUGGCAUGGCCAAAGAUUUUUGCAAGAUUGUGGAAAGGUAAAGCAUGGAGCAACCAGUCAGUUGAUCGUUGCACAGAGAAGAUGUAGCUAACUUUUUGCCAAAAUAGUCUUGAAGUUGGUUAUGGUCUUCUGUGGCAUGGCCAAAGACUUUUGCAAGAUUGUGGAAAGGUAAAGCAUGGACCAUACAGUCAUAAAAUCGUUGCACAGAGAAGAUGUAGCUAACUUUUUGCCAAAAUAGUCUUGAAGUUGGUUAUGGUCUUCUGUGGCAUGGCCAAAGAUUUUUGCAAGAUUGUGGAAAGGUAAAGCAUGGACCAACCAGUCAUAGGAUCGUUGCACAGAGAAGAUGAAGCCGAGUUUUUACAAAAUUGACUUGAAGCCUGUCUGCCUGAUCGUUUACUGCUUUGAAGAACUAUAUCAGGAGAGAUUCAACGAGAUGGACAAAGAUCUUUAGCAUGUUACUAAAGGUGUCAAAAUAUGCCCUGAAGUUGGUUAUGGUCUGCUGUUGCAUGGCCAAAGAUUUUUGCAAGAUUGUGGAAAGGUAAAGCAUGGAGCAACCAGUCAGUUGAUCGUUGCACAGAGAAGAUGUAGCUAACUUUUUGCCAAAAUUGUCUUGAAGUUGGUUAUGGUCUGCUGUGGCAUGGCCAACGAUUUUUGCAAGAUUGUGGAAAGGUAAAGCAUGGAGCAACCAGUCAGUUGAUCGUUGCACAGAGAAGAUGUAGCUAACUUUUUGCCAAAUAGUUAUGGUCUGCUGUGGCAUGCCAAAGAUUUUUGCAAGAUUGUAGAAAGGUAAAGCAUGGACCAACCAGUCAUAGGAUCGUUGCACAGAGAAGAUGAAGCCAAGUUUUAAUCAAAAUUGACUUGAAGCCUGUCUGCCUGAUCGUUUACUGCUUUGAAGAACUAUUCCAAGAGAUAUUCAACGAGCUGGACAUAGAUCUUUUGCAUAUUACUAAAGGUGUCAAAAUAUGCCCUUAAGUUGGUUAUGGUCUACUGUGGCAUGGCCAAAGAUUUUUGCAAGAUUGUGGAAAGGUAAAGCAUGGAGCAACCAGUCAGUUGAUCGUUGCACAGAGAAGAUGUAGCUAACUUUUUGCCAAAAUAGUCUUGAAGUUGGUUAUGGUCUUCUGUGGCAUGGCCAAAGACUUUUGCAAGAUUUUGGAAAGGUAAAGCAUGGACCAUACAGUCAUAAAAUCGUUGCACAGAGAAGAUGUAGCUAACUUUUUGCCAAAAUAGUCUUGAAGUUGGUUAUGGUCUUCUUUGGCAUGGCCAAAGAUUUUUGCAAGAUUGUGGAAAGGUAAAGCAUGGACCAACCAGUCAUAGGAUCGUUGCACAGAGAAGAUGAAGCCGAGUUGUUACAAAAUUGACUUGAAGCCUGUCUGCCUGAUCGUUUACUGCUUUGAAGAACUAUAUCAGGAGAGAUUCAACGAGCUGGACAAAGAUCUUUUGCAUGUUACUAAAGGUGUCAAAAUAUGCCCUUAAGUUGGUUAUGGUCUACUGUGGCAUGGCCAAAGAUUUUUGCAAGAUUGUGGAAAGGUAAAGCAUGGAGCAACCAGUCAGUUGAUCGUUGCACAGAGAAGAUGUAGCUAACUUUUUGCCAAAAUAGUCUUGAAGUUGGUUAUGGUCUGCUGUGGCAUGGCCAAAGAUUUUUGCAAGAUUGUAGAAAGGUAAAGCAUGGAGCAACCAGUCAGUUGAUCGUUGCACAGAGAAGAUGUAGCUAACUUUUUGCCAAAUGGUUAUGGUCUGCUGUGGCAUGCCAAAGAUUUUUGCAAGAUUGUAGAAAGGUAAAGCAUGGACCAACCAGUCAUAGGAUCGUUGCACAGAGAAGAUGAAGCCAAGUUUUAAUCAAAAUUGACUUGAAGCCUGUCUGCCUGAUCGUUUACUGCUUUGAAGAACUAUUCCAAGAGAUAUUCAACGCCUACAAAAUUUGGUCUACAAAGUCAUGAACGAAGAUGCACAAGGAGAAGGUGCACAAGAAGAAGGUGCACAAGAAGAUGUUCACAAGAAGAUGUUCACAAGAAGAGGAGCAGAGAAGAUGGACUGAAGUACUCUUGAGAAAAUGGAAGAUUGUUAUUAAAGUCUUACAUGUACACACAAAAAAGAUUGUGAAUGGAUUAGAAAUGCAGUAUUUGCUGGCAAGUUAUUGGUUCCAAAACGCUCAUUAGAGCAAAUUUUGAUUUUUUCCCAGUGGGUAUGCUUGAUGGCAUUUUGAUACUUUACAUAAAGUUCCAUCCUUUUGCGCGUUUGGAGAAGUAAGCGUGUAAAGGGUCAUUUGAAGGAUCUAAAGCGCGUAGGUUUUCACGUUGGGCAAGGUAAAGCGGUUACUGGAAUGUCUUUGUGCAUGUAUCGACACUUUCAGUAUUGGACAGUGAUAGGCAACUGUUGGUUCACUCUGUUUAAAUAUGCUUGCCAGCAUUUACUGUAUUUUUUCUCCACCAUAUCAUAGGGGAAAGGUCGUUUGAGCAGCUUUUUCUUAAGCCCAACCAUGUCUUUUUCAAUUUUAAGGUCUAGUUAAGAUGAGGCUAAGGUGCGAAUAGGCUCUAUAGUUAACAUGAUUUCUAAUUUGAUUUUUAUGAAAAUGAUAACUGCUUGUGCUUCAUACCAACAAAGUUUCCCUAAAACAAUUCUAAGUUUACUUAUUGGAAAAGUUUUUAAGGGAGUUAAAAAAUAUUUUGCUAACCACCUAGCCUAUCACUAUUUUUGCUUUAUCAGCUGGAAAAUACUUAAGCAAAAAUGAAGGAAAUUUGUAUAACCGUAUCAUAGGCUCCGCGCUUGCAUUAAGAAUUUAGGCACCUUGAUUUAUUAGAACUGUUUCUUUACAUCCAUUUCCUAUCUAUAACCCUGACUCUUCCUUCGAUGUUUUUUCUAGAUCGUUUUCAAUAGGAUAAUAAUAAGGAUAAGAAUCAACAAUCUUUAUUUGCAAAGACAAAUAUCAUGAUUAAGUUUGAAUUUAGGAUCAUGAACUAUUUUGCAAAGAAAAACAAUUGUCGUAAGUAAGGAAAAGCUGCUUGAAUGACCAACUUAGAACUUCUUACCAGUCAGCUGAAUUUCACUUUAAAGGGAUGGGACCCUCAAGUCUUUAGGCUAAAUUGCUGUGACGUCAUGUGCCUGUAGCCUGGUGCCUGUGCUUCAAACUGGAUCAAAGAUGUUACACUGAUGUUACGAAACCAAUGUAUGCCUUGCAGCUGGACAGACACCCGCCAUUUACAAUCAGAUUUCAGUUUGGAAAAUAUAAGGAAGUCGUGAAAGAAUUCUUCCCCAGGGAUGUUAACAGAAGGGUCGUGAGAGCAAUUUUGGACAGCAACAAGAAUGGCACCUAGAACUGGUGAACGGACAAAGGCAACAUGGACUAAGGACCACUUGUUCAAAGGAUGGUCAAUUCAUAUACACCCUCUCUUCAACUCUCUCUCUGAUAUCAAACUAUAAUUCUUUUAGUCUUUUCUUACUCGUAUUUCCUUCCAUCUUUCUUUCUAUUAUUUCUUGCCCCUUAAGUUUUUGGUACAAUAAGAUUCAAUA